RNAcentral lists this ribosomal RNA (413 nucleotides) under Ophiostoma sp. RNAcentral describes it as "eukaryotic LSU rRNA". It matches the Rfam family "Eukaryotic large subunit ribosomal RNA", at positions 69 to 491 of the family's 3401-position model. The record is from RNAcentral. Lineage: Eukaryota; Fungi; Ascomycota; Sordariomycetes; Ophiostomatales; Ophiostomataceae.
CAGGGAUUGCCCCAGUAACGGCGAGUGAAGCGGCAACAGCUCAAAUUUGAAAUCUGGCCUUCGGGUCCGAGUUGUAAUUUGGAGAGGAUGCUUUUGGCGCGGCGCCGUCCGAGUUCCUUGGAACAGGACGCCAUAGAGGGUGAGAGCCCCGUACGGGCGGCCGCCUAGCCUCUGUAAAGCUCCUUCGACGAGUCGAGUAGUUUGGGAAUGCUGCUCAAAAUGGGAGGUAAAUUUCUUCUAAAGCUAAAUACUGGCCAGAGACCGAUAGCGCACAAGUAGAGUGAUCGAAAGAUGAAAAGCACUUUGAAAAGAGGGUUAAAAAGUACGUGAAAUUGUUGAAAGGGAAGCGCCUGUGACCAGACUUGCGGCCCGUGGAUCAUCCGGUGUUCUUCACCGGUGCACUCCGCGGGCUG